This 500-nucleotide ribosomal RNA is filed under the name uncultured bacterium. RNAcentral describes it as "partial 16S ribosomal RNA". It matches the Rfam family "Bacterial small subunit ribosomal RNA", at positions 30 to 523 of the family's 1533-position model. The record is from RNAcentral.
AUUGAACGCUGGCGGCAGGCCUAACACAUGCAAGUCGAGCGGAUGAGAGGGGCUUGCUCCUCGAUUCAGCGGCGGACGGGUGAGUAAUGCCUAGGAAUCUGCCUAGUAGUGGGGGACAACGUUUCGAAAGGAACGCUAAUACCGCAUACGUCCUACGGGAGAAAGGGGGGGAUCUUCGGACCUCACGCUAUUAGAUGAGCCUAGGUCGGAUUAGCUAGUUGGUAGGGUAACGGCCUACCAAGGCGACGUUCCGUAACUGGUCUGAGAGGAUGAUCAGUCACACUGAAACUGAGAUACGGUCCAGAUUCCUACGGGAGACAUCAGUGGGAAAUAUUGGACAAUGGGCGAAAGCCUGAUCCAGCCAUGCGGCGUGUGUGAAGAAGGCCCUCGGGUCUUAAAGCACUUUAAGUUGGGAGGAAGGGCUUACAGCGAAUACCUGUGAGUUUUGACGUUACCGACAGAAUAAGCACCGGCUAACUUCUUGCCAGCCGCCGCGGUAA